Molecule: ribosomal RNA, 468 nt
Filed under: uncultured bacterium
Lineage: Bacteria
Description: partial 16S ribosomal RNA
Rfam family: Bacterial small subunit ribosomal RNA
Source: RNAcentral
GACGAACGCUGGCGGCGUGCUUAACACAUGCAAGUCGAACGGAAAGGCCCUGCUUUUGUGGGGUGCUCGAGUGGCGAACGGGUGAGUAACACGUGAGUAACCUGCCCUUGACUUUGGGAUAACUUCAGGAAACUGGGGCUAAUACCGGAUAGGAGCUCCUGCUGCAUGGUGGGGGUUGGAAAGUUUCGGCGGUUGGGGAUGGACUCGCGGCUUAUCAGCUUGUUGGUGGGGUAGUGGCUUACCAAGGCUUUGACGGGUAGCCGGCCUGAGCGGGCGGCCGGCCACAUUGGGACUGGGAUACGGCCCAGACUCCUACGGGACGCAGCAGUGGGGAAUAUUGCACAAUGGGCGGAAGCCUGAUGCAGCAACGCCGCGUGCGGGAUGACGGCCUUCGGGUUGUAAACCGCUUUCGCCUGUGACGAAGCGUGAGUGACGGUAAUGGGUAAAGAAGCACCGGCUAACUACGUG